Molecule: ribosomal RNA, 467 nt
Filed under: uncultured bacterium
Lineage: Bacteria
Description: partial 16S ribosomal RNA
Rfam family: Bacterial small subunit ribosomal RNA
Source: RNAcentral
GAUGAACGCUGGUGGCGUGCUUAACACAUGCCAGUCGAACGGAAAGGCCCAAGCUUGCUUGGGUACUCGAGUGGCGAAAGGGUGAGUAACACGUGGGUGAUCUGCCCUGCACUUCGGGAUAAGCCUGGGAAACUGGGUCUAAUACCGGAUAGGACGAUGGUUUGGAUGCCAUUGUGGAAAGUUUUUUCGGUGUGGGAUGAGCUCGCGGCCUAUCAGCUUGUUGGUGGGGUAAUGGCCUACCAAGGCGUCGACGGGUAGCCGGCCUGCGAGGGUGUACGGCCACAGUGGGACUGAGAUACGGCCCAGACUCCUACGGGAGGCAGCAGUGGGGAAUAUUGCACAAUGGGCGCAAGCCGGAUGCAGCGACGCCGCGGGGGGGAGGACGGCCUUCGGGUUGUAAACUCCUUUCGCUAGGGACGAAGCGUUUUGUGACGGUACCUGGAGAAGAAGCACCGGCUAACUACGUG